UAUCUGCAACAACAAUUACAUUUCAGGGGUAUGGUAGGAAGUAAUUUGCAGGUACAUCACUUAUUUUCAUGGGUGAAAUGCAGCUAAAGCUUUGUGGGUUUUUUUUGUUGUUGUUGUUGUUUUGUUUUGUUUUUAAAGAAAAGCUCAUACUAAUCCAUCACUUGUACUAAUGUAGAGUGCUUCAUAUUCACUUUGAUGAUGUCUUAAGAUAGAACAACAAAUCAUAGACUCACUUAAAUGCCCUUACAGAAGGAGAUACUGUUUUGUACUCGCCUCCAAAUCCACAGUGCACUCCAUGCUGUGGAGAAAAACAAACAGUUAAAAAGGCACACAAAACCCCUAAGAUAUAAAUAAAUCAGCAGGCAAAGCCAGUUUCAAUCUUUGUCCUGCUAUUUGAGAAAAGUUUGCACCAUUUUAAUGCACACUAUAGAAGUGGCUACAAUAAGUGCCUUCAAUUUAAUUCUACCUUUUACAUUAGAGCAAGCAUGAGCGAUGUGAGGACAGAAGAGCUAUAUAAUACAUCGGAAAACCGAUUCUCGAGAAGUACGGAUUUUAGAGUGCAUCUUUUCAAGCUCCUGGCAUUAUAGGACAAAAAUGUUCAGAUGCCACUGUCAAGGACUUGUUAAAUGGUACAUCUCUGGAACUUGUAGGAACUUGUCUCAAAACACUUAUGUAAUCUUCUUCCUCAAAGAAAGAAUCUGUUUGGAGAGACUCUUGGUUGACCAUCUACCCUCAGACCAAAGAUCUCAUCAUUGGAUCCCCAGUUACCAUAGUGGACAUGGUCUAUCAUGGAGAAGGUACCUGUGCUAAGAUCAAACAAAACCGAAGAAGUCUCAGUCAUCUUAGAAGAAGAAUAGAAGCAACAUGAAACACAGCGAUACAUAAUAGAGUGAGAAAU
RNAcentral lists this long non-coding RNA (898 nucleotides) under Coturnix japonica (Japanese quail). RNAcentral's name for it is "lncRNA (ENSCJPG00005018332.1)". The record is from RNAcentral. Lineage: Eukaryota; Metazoa; Chordata; Aves; Galliformes; Phasianidae.